Molecule: ribosomal RNA, 482 nt
Filed under: uncultured bacterium
Lineage: Bacteria
Description: partial 16S ribosomal RNA
Rfam family: Bacterial small subunit ribosomal RNA
Source: RNAcentral
UGAACGCUAGCGGCAGGCCUAACACAUGCAAGUCGAGCGGAUGAAGGGAGCUUGCUCCUGGAUUCAGCGGCGGACGGGUGAGUAAUGCCUAGGAAUCUGCCUGGUAGUGGGGGAUAACGUCCGGAAACGGGCGCUAAUACCGCAUACGUCCUGAGGGAGAAAGUGGGGGAUCUUCGGACCUCACGCUAUCAGAUGAGCCUAGGUCGGAUUAGCUAGUUGGUGGGGUAAAGGCCUACCAAGGCGACGAUCCGUAACUGGUCUGAGAGGAUGAUCAGUCACACUGGAACUGAGACACGGCCCAGACUCCUACGGGAGGCAGCAGUGGGGAAUAUUGGACAAUGGGCGAAAGCCUGAUCCAGCCAUGCCGCGUGUGUGAAGAAGGUCUUCGGAUUGUAAAGCACUUUAAGUUGGGAGGAAGGGCAGUAAGUUAAUACCUUGCUGUUUUGACGUUACCAACAGAAUAAGCACCGGCUAACUUCGUG